Molecule: ribosomal RNA, 493 nt
Filed under: Distorsomina pusilla
Lineage: Eukaryota; Metazoa; Mollusca; Gastropoda; Littorinimorpha; Cymatiidae
Description: partial 16S ribosomal RNA
Rfam family: Bacterial large subunit ribosomal RNA
Source: RNAcentral
AUAGGGAGUCGGACCUGCCCAGUGAAUAAUUUUUAACGGCCGCGGUACUCUGACCGUGCAAAGGUAGCAUAAUCAUUUGCCUUAUAAUUGAGGGCUAGUAUGAAUGGUUUGACAAGAAUAAAGCUGUCUCUAUACUAAUUAUAUAUAAUUUUAUCUUUAGGUGAAGAAGCCUAAAUAAUAUAAAAAGACAAGAAGACCCUAUCGAGCUUGAAAUGAAUCAUUAAGUUUGUAGUUAUAUUGUAUAAAAUAAUAGUUUUUGAAAAUUUUGGUUGGGGCGACUAAGGAACAUAUAAAGCUUCUUAAAUUAACUUAUAUACAUACAUGUGUUGAUCCAGAAGUUUUGAUUAAAGAAAUUAGUUACCGUAGGGAUAACAGCAUUAUCUUUUUUAAGAGCUCAUAUCGAAAAAAAGGUUUGUGACCUCGAUGUUGGACCAGAAUAUCCUAAAGAUGCAGAAGUCUUUAAGGGUUGGUCUGUUCGACCAUUAAAAUUCUA